RNAcentral lists this ribosomal RNA (59 nucleotides) under Parazoanthid sp. 'yellow polyp'. RNAcentral's name for it is "partial 28S ribosomal RNA". It matches the Rfam family "Eukaryotic large subunit ribosomal RNA", at positions 1 to 56 of the family's 3401-position model. RNAcentral also lists the same sequence under 3 other names. Lineage: Eukaryota; Metazoa; Cnidaria; Anthozoa; Zoantharia; Parazoanthidae. The record is from RNAcentral.
CAUUGACCUCAGAUCAGGCAAGGCUACCCGCUGAAUUUAAGCAUAUCAAUAAGCGGAGG